This 348-nucleotide long non-coding RNA is filed under the name Coffea arabica (coffee). RNAcentral describes it as "long non-coding RNA (CARA_LNC002646)". Lineage: Eukaryota; Viridiplantae; Streptophyta; Magnoliopsida; Gentianales; Rubiaceae. The record is from RNAcentral.
AAAGCUUACUUAGACCCAUCUUGAACCCUUGAAACCAUAUAUCUGCCUUAUCCUCUAAAUGCAUUUCUAUCAUAUCGAACCAUUGUUCCUCUGCCACAUGAUAUAUCUGAAAGUAUUUGAUACAUUUCCUCAGCCAUUCUCGAGGAUUUUCCCCUCUGAACAGAGGAAAUUCCACCUUAGGGAAAGGGCCAUGAAAAUUCUUCCUUACUCCACGUUCUUGAUGGGGCUCAUCCAACCAAAUUACGUUCCGAUUACCCGAUCGAUUUGGAGACUUCUCUGCGUUACUGCCGGGACCCAAAAUUCCCUUAUCUCCAUUGAUGGUUCGCAUGAGAUUGCCAUAUUGAGUCG